This 207-nucleotide ribosomal RNA is filed under the name uncultured bacterium. RNAcentral describes it as "partial 16S ribosomal RNA". It matches the Rfam family "Bacterial small subunit ribosomal RNA", at positions 568 to 774 of the family's 1533-position model. The record is from RNAcentral.
CGCGUAGGCGGUCUCUUAAGUCGGAUGUGAAAGCCCGGGGCUUAACCCCGGAAGUGCAUUCGAAACUAAGGGACUUGAGUAUGGGAGAGGGAAGUGGAAUUCCUGGUGUAGCGGCGAAAUGCGUAGAUAUCAGGAGGAACACCGGUGGCGAAGGCGACUUCCUGGACCAAUACUGACGCUGAGGCGCGAAGGCGUGGGGAGCAAACA